UUAAGCGACUAAGCGUACACGGUGGAUGCCCUGGCAGUCAGAGGCGAUGAAGGACGUGCUAAUCUGCGAAAAGCGUCGGUAAGGUGAUAUGAACCGUUAUAACCGGCGAUGUCCGAAUGGGGAAACCCAGUGCAAUUCGUUGCACUAUCGUUAACUGAAUACAUAGGUUAACGAGGCGAACCGGGGGAACUGAAACAUCUAAGUACCCCGAGGAAAAGAAAUCAACCGAGAUUCCCCCAGUAGCGGCGAGCGAACGGGGAGCAGCCCAGAGUCUGAAUCAGCUUGUGUGUUAGUGGAACGGUCUGGAAAGUCCGACGGUACAGGGUGAUAGUCCCGUACACCAAAAUGCACAGGUUGUGAACUCGAAGAGUAGGGCGGGACACGUGGUAUCCUGUCUGAAUAUGGGGGGACCAUCCUCCAAGGCUAAAUACUCCUGACUGACCGAUAGUGAACCAGUACCGUGAGGGAAAGGCGAAAAGAACCCCGGCGAGGGGAGUGAAAAAGAACCUGAAACCGUGUACGUACAAGCAGUGGGAGCACCUUCGGGUGUGACUGCGUACCUUUUGUAUAAUGGGUCAGCGACUUAUAUUCUGUAGCAAGGUUAACCGUAUAGGGGAGCCGCAGGGAAACCGAGUCUUAACUGGGCGUUAAGUUGCAGGGUAUAGACCCGAAACCCGGUGAUCUAGCCAUGGGCAGGUUGAAGGUUGGGUAACACUAACUGGAGGACCGAACCGACUAAUGUUGAAAAAUUAGCGGAUGACUUGUGGCUGGGGGUGAAAGGCCAAUCAAACCGGGAGAUAGCUGGUUCUCCCCGAAAGCUAUUUAGGUAGCGCCUCGUGAACUCAUCUUCGGGGGUAGAGCACUGUUUCGGCUAGGGGGUCAUCCCGACUUACCAACCCGAUGCAAACUACGAAUACCGAAGAAUGUUAUCACGGGAGACACACGGCGGGUGCUAACGUCCGUCGUGAAGAGGGAAACAACCCAGACCGCCAGCUAAGGUCCCAAAGUCAUGGUUAAGUGGGAAACGAUGUGGGAAGGCACAGACAGCCAGGAUGUUGGCUUAGAAGCAGCCAUCAUUUAAAGAAAGCGUAAUAGCUCACUGGUCGAGUCGGCCUGCGCGGAAGAUGUAACGGGGCUAAACCAUGCACCGAAGCUGCGGCAGCGACACUAUGUGUUGUUGGGUAGGGGAGCGUUCUGUAAGCCUGCGAAGGUGGCCUGUGAGGGCUGCUGGAGGUAUCAGAAGUGCGAAUGCUGACAUAAGUAACGAUAAAGCGGGUGAAAAGCCCGCUCGCCGGAAGACCAAGGGUUCCUGUCCAACGUUAAUCGGGGCAGGGUGAGUCGACCCCUAAGGCGAGGCCGAAAGGCGUAGUCGAUGGGAAACAGGUUAAUAUUCCUGUACUUGGUGUUACUGCGAAGGGGGGACGGAGAAGGCUAUGUUAGCCGGGCGACGGUUGUCCCGGUUUAAGCAUGUAGGCGGAGGUUCCAGGUAAAUCCGGUACCUUUUAACGCUGAGGUGUGAUGACGAGGCACUACGGUGCUGAAGUAACAAAUGCCCUGCUUCCAGGAAAAGCCUCUAAGCAUCAGGUAACAUUAAAUCGUACCCCAAACCGACACAGGUGGUCAGGUAGAGAAUACCAAGGCGCUUGAGAGAACUCGGGUGAAGGAACUAGGCAAAAUGGUGCCGUAACUUCGGGAGAAGGCACGCUGGUGUGUAGGUGAAGUCCCUGCGGACGGAGCUGAGACCAGUCGAAGAUACCAGCUGGCUGCAACUGUUUAUUAAAAACACAGCACUGUGCAAACACGAAAGUGGACGUAUACGGUGUGACGCCUGCCCGGUGCCGGAAGGUUAAUUGAUGGGGUUAUCCGUAAGGAGAAGCUCUUGAUCGAAGCCCCGGUAAACGGCGGCCGUAACUAUAACGGUCCUAAGGUAGCGAAAUUCCUUGUCGGGUAAGUUCCGACCUGCACGAAUGGCGUAAUGAUGGCCAGGCUGUCUCCACCCGAGACUCAGUGAAAUUGAACUCGCUGUGAAGAUGCAGUGUACCCGCGGCAAGACGGAAAGACCCCGUGAACCUUUACUAUAGCUUGACACUGAACAUUGAGCCUUGAUGUGUAGGAUAGGUGGGAGGCUUUGAAGCGUGGACGCCAGUCUGCGUGGAGCCAACCUUGAAAUACCACCCUUUAAUGUUUGAUGUUCUAACGUUGGCCCGUAAUCCGGGUUGCGGACAGUGUCUGGUGGGUAGUUUGACUGGGGCGGUCUCCUCCCAAAGAGUAACGGAGGAGCACGAAGGUUAGCUAAUCCUGGUCGGACAUCAGGAGGUUAGUGCAAUGGCAUAAGCUAGCUUGACUGCGAGCGUGACGGCGCGAGCAGGUGCGAAAGCAGGUCAUAGUGAUCCGGUGGUUCUGAAUGGAAGGGCCAUCGCUCAACGGAUAAAAGGUACUCCGGGGAUAACAGGCUGAUACCGCCCAAGAGUUCAUAUCGACGGCGGUGUUUGGCACCUCGAUGUCGGCUCAUCACAUCCUGGGGCUGAAGUAGGUCCCAAGGGUAUGGCUGUUCGCCAUUUAAAGUGGUACGCGAGCUGGGUUUAGAACGUCGUGAGACAGUUCGGUCCCUAUCUGCCGUGGGCGCUGGAGAAUUGAGGGGGGCUGCUCCUAGUACGAGAGGACCGGAGUGGACGCAUCACUGGUGUUCGGGUUGUCAUGCCAAUGGCACUGCCCGGUAGCUAAAUGCGGAAGAGAUAAGUGCUGAAAGCAUCUAAGCACGAAACUUGCCCCGAGAUGAGUUCUCCCUGAGACUUUAAGUCUCCUGAAGGAACGUUGAAGACGACGACGUUGAUAGGCCGGGUGUGUAAGCGCAGCGAUGCGUUGAGCUAACCGGUACUAAUGAACCGUGAGGCUUAACCUU
Molecule: ribosomal RNA, 2902 nt
Filed under: Klebsiella variicola At-22
Lineage: Bacteria; Pseudomonadati; Pseudomonadota; Gammaproteobacteria; Enterobacterales; Enterobacteriaceae
Description: bacterial LSU rRNA
Rfam family: Bacterial large subunit ribosomal RNA
Source: RNAcentral